UUUUGCAAAAUGAAACUUUAGCUAAGGAUUGUACAACUGCUCUCACGAAGGAAUUGGAUACUUCACAAGAUCCAGCUGUUAGAAACAACAUCAGGAUUGUCCUUUUCGACCUUGUGUGUUAGGCAUACGAAUGAUGUCGACCGUUACAUACCAAAUAUUGUUAAAUGUUUGAACAACCUAUGAUACGUAACAAACUUUAAUCAUGAUGACACAUUGGCUCUGCAGUAUACAACCGGUUUCAGCAAACGAAAAAAGAGAAAGAAUUGUUUUCAUUGAGAGGAGAGGAAAAGAUAGGUAAACGAAUGAUUAUCUACAAGUUCUUGCUCGAUCACAGGACGGGGGAGCAGCGUUCUAAUUUGAUUGAAAAUCGUGUCAAAAGACAUGUUGGUGGUCUGAUACAAAAGAAUAUUUCAUCAGAGUUAUCGUUGGCACCAGCCGACGUGGGCGAGCAAAAUUGUUUCGCAAAUCUCAAGAGAACGGUUGCAACGUCAAGCCAGAAAUAUGUCAUCCUCAUAUUUAACUACGACAAGUGCCAUUGUGUUAAUAAAGCUAAUAUCGACAGUAGCUGCUAAAAGAAAUCUGCAUUGCUUAGCCGAAAGAAAACGUGCUGCUUUUGAAAGACUUACUUGUCUCUCUCUAUAUUUUUCAAAAGAAGACAUAAGUAACUAUAGAUGUUUUGCUAAUGUAUCACCAAACUAACAUUAAUAUAUAAAUGUAUUUAUUUGUACUACUCUUUCACUCUUUCUAUCAACAUUCCUUCUUCGUGUAA
Molecule: long non-coding RNA, 769 nt
Organism: Xenia sp. Carnegie-2017
Lineage: Eukaryota; Metazoa; Cnidaria; Anthozoa; Malacalcyonacea; Xeniidae
Exons: 5
Source: RefSeq, a predicted model, not a curated record